CUGCGCUCCUACAGUUGGGCCCUUCUUUCUCCUCCUCCCUCCCCCUCCCGCGCGCUGCUCCGGCUUGUGUUCCCGGGUUCCCUCCCCGGCGCGUCUUUCCCGGCCCGCCCGGUGCAUUGUGGGCUGACGUCUUGGUUUGGCUGUCUAGUGACGGAGGCUGCCGGGUCGGCUGGACCCUUGCGGAGUCUGUCGGAGGCGGGCUCAAGUUCAGAGAUGGGGACCGGGACCAAGACGCGGGGAUCCUGAAAGCUGGGGGGGCGCACUAGUGGCCGGGCGGAGGGCUUGGGUGGGAGUGGAGGUUGCACACAGGCGCGCGCGCGCGCGCGAACGCACACACACACACACACACACACACACACACACAUACAGUGAAAGGGCUGAAUGAUUUGGGCGACUGAAGCUGGCUCCGCACCCCCGCACUUCCGGGGGACAGAGCGAUGCGGGUUAAUAUGGUUGUGUGCGCCCCGGGUGCGGGAGCGCGUGAGUGGGCUGAAGUGGAGAGGACUUGAGAGUGGCCCUCCCACGAUGAGUACGCGUGGAAGUUUAGUUUCGGCGAAGGUUCUGCGCCGCAGUGCGCUGUACACGAAAACCAGAGAUUUGCGGUUCUCGGAACCGACUCAGCAGGGUCCCCGGCACAACACUUUAUUCUCUGGGGACAUGUCGGGAGGGGCUCGCUUUGCCUUGGGGGGGACCCUUCCUCUAGCUGUGAAAGAUGCUAGCCCAGCGUCCUUGGGGUGUCGAAAGCAACUUAUAAAGGGUUCGAAACUCAGGAAACCCCGGCGAUCGCCUGCGCUAGCACAGACACACGGCCCCGCGCACACUCAAUUCGCGCCCGCCCUUCCUCCCUCCCUGAUUUGCUUCUGGGAAAACAAGUCUUGAGAGCUGCGGACUCGCCCCAAGUCACGGAGCUUAAGCAGGAGUCCCUGGUAGAAACAGGCUGAAAACUCCCCUCCCCGCUCGCUCACUGGUGGAUUCUUUAUCCUAAGCAGCCUCUAGGAAGCGCUAGACACAAGGUGCCCUUCAUAAGAAGAAACGAUGGGUCAAAGUUGAGGCUUUUGUUCUGGCUUUCCCAGCUUGAAAAGAAAGAAGAUUAUAGACUGCUAUGUUCCUACUGAACGUGUAAGCUUCAUGAGAGUUUUCUACAGCGAACAUGCUUUACAGUUGCAAACAAACAAACAAACAAACCCAACAUGUUUUCCAUCUUAUUAGCUGUGAUCCUAUCAUUUGGCCUUUGAAGGGCUUUGAAAGAAGUCCUCAGGGAGAGCUGAGGUCCAGAGAUGAUUCACAGUGAAGGUAGCUUUAAACUUUGGGCUACCCUCUUUUAUCCCCUUCACCUCUACAUGGCAUUUGCCUUCCCUGUAGCUUUUUUUUUAAUUUAAAACAAACAAACAAACAAAAAAACAAAAAAAAAAACCAACUGUGGUUUUGCUAAUUCAGGAAGUACCUUGUUGUGUGCUUGUAUGUGUGGAGGUGCAACUUGGAGAAAUCAGGACACAGACUCUGUGAUAUUCCUCUACUUAACAACCUUCUCCACACAGAGGAUGGUUCUCGGUCCACUCUGCUGCAGAGACAUAUCUGUCCUAUGACUCUGUGUACCCAUUCUUACGGAUUUGGCAGUUAGAGAGGAAGCAAGCAAUAAUGUUGUAAAAUGUCAGGAAGGCUGCUGUUACCAGUAAUUCUUGCAACCCAUACCUUUCUUCAGCAUUCUGGCCCAUGGCUAAACCAUGGGGAUGCUUCCAGUGAACACCCAAAUGCUUGGAGGUCUGGACGCACUAGAUCAGCAUUUUCUAUCCUGUUGGAUCAAUGAUCAGCAGCCCCAGAGACUAGAUCAACCUGAGUUUAUUUUCUGUGCUUGCCCAUUUCUGACUUUAUUUAGGCCAAAAUUCUUACUCUCGAGACUUAGCCUGGGUGAGCCCUGCCUGAGAUACUGCCAGUGUGUGCCCCAGAAGAGAUGGAAGUUGUACCACUGAGUAACUCUAAAAGCUUUGUCUAGAGAUCACUGCCGUUCAUCAUCCAUGGGCUAAAGCUUGACCCUGACACAGAAGAACAUGGGAUCAAUACGUAGGUCAGGUGUUAUUUAUGAAUUUUAGAUUCUCUAUCUAGAGAAUGAAAAUAGGUAAAACAAACAAACAAACAAACUAAUUAUAUAGUUUGAAUAUUAUAAGUCAAGCCAUGGAAUAUCAUGUAACCACAUCAGAAGAUGAGUUGUCUUGAAAAUACAAGCUGACCUGGAGGAGUCUAUUGAUGGAUUUAAAUGAGCAAAGCAAGCUACAGCAUAACGGAGACCAUGUAAACGUAGUUUUAUUUUUCACAAAUUGAGAAAGCCAUAAACCGGGCAUGCUGGUACAUACUGUAAUUUCCAAACUCAGGAGGCUGAGACAGAAGGAUUGCUGCAAGUUUGAGGCCUGCCUGGCCUACGCAGUGAAUUUAAAGUGUUUCCAAACAAAUAACAACAGCAAAACUACACUAAACCAAGUCUAUGAGUCUACAAAGGUCCAUGAAUGUACUGGUAUGAGAUUACUAAUAAAAAUGCCUCAUGGGUUAUGGACAACA
Long non-coding RNA from Mastomys coucha (southern multimammate mouse), 2553 nucleotides. RefSeq lists it as uncharacterized. The record is from RefSeq and is a predicted model, not a curated record. The transcript is spliced from 3 exons. Lineage: Eukaryota; Metazoa; Chordata; Mammalia; Rodentia; Muridae.